This 333-nucleotide ribosomal RNA is filed under the name uncultured Planctomycetota bacterium. RNAcentral describes it as "bacterial SSU rRNA". It matches the Rfam family "Bacterial small subunit ribosomal RNA", at positions 568 to 898 of the family's 1533-position model. The record is from RNAcentral. Lineage: Bacteria; Pseudomonadati; Planctomycetota.
CACGUAGGCGGCUAGGUCCGUCCGAUGUGAAAGCCCCCGGCUCAACCGGGGAAUUGCAUCGGAUACAGCCUGGCUUGAGGACGGUUGGGGUGAGUGGAACUCCUGGUGGAGCGGUGAAAUGCGUAGAUAUCAGGAGGAACACCGGUGGCGAAAGCGGCUCACUGGACCGUUUCUGACGCUGAGGUGCGAAAGCUAGGGGAGCAAACGGGAUUAGAUACCCCGGUAGUCCUAGCCGUAAACGAUGGGCACUGGGUAGGGGGGAAGCCUAUGCUCUUCCCUGCCGAAGCAAAUGUAUUAAGUGCCCCGCCUGGGGAGUACGCUCGCAAGGGUAAA